AGCAGUCGCCGCGGUAAUACGAAAGGUCCAAGCGUUACUCGGAAUUACUGGGCGUAAAGCGCGCGUAGGCGGUCUUGUAUGUCGAUUGUGAAAGCCCCGGGCUCAACCUGGGAACUGCAGUCGAAACUGCAAGACUUGAAUGUUGGAGAGGUUGGGGGAAUACCUAGUGGAGAAGUGAAAUUCGUAGAGAUUAGGUGGAACACCAGAGGCGAAGGCGCCUGACUGGCCAAACAUUGACGCUAAGGCGCGAAAGCGUGGGUAGCAAACAGGAUUAGAUACCCCUGUAGUCCCUGUCUCUUAUAC
RNAcentral lists this ribosomal RNA (303 nucleotides) under uncultured bacterium. RNAcentral describes it as "partial 16S ribosomal RNA". It matches the Rfam family "Bacterial small subunit ribosomal RNA", at positions 507 to 807 of the family's 1533-position model. The record is from RNAcentral.